GUCGCACCUAUCGCUGCUCCCCUAAAGCUGCGAAAAGAGGUGACCAGAGAGAGCCUACUUGGAUUGUUUCGUGGAUCCCGUCCCGUGGAUCUGUUGGCGAUCCAACAUGGCGUUCGUUUUGUGCAGAAAAAAGUGUGUUCUCCGGUAGCCCAAUAGUAGGCAUGUCUGUUUUUCGGUAAAUAUUGCCUAGCAUGCUCAGGUGUGUGUCAGCGCAGCUGCAGGAUGUUACGUGGAACACGCGCGCGACCUCGAAAGGAAUCACCGCGUGGCUCGAAACGAAAGCGUUCUAUUGCGGUGCCUUCACUAUUAAUCAGCAUCAGCAUUUUCGGCCACGUUUUGGAAAUCCCGCAAACCGCUAAAUCGUCAUCGGCGUCGUCGUCGUCGCCGUCGUCGUCUAUCUGGAAAGUACGGAUCCUAUCGCAGCAGUCGCGCUCGGGAGUUUUACCACAUCACAGCACAGCAACUGAUCGUUGCUGGAUCGAAUGUGAAAAUAAAGAGAGCUAUCCGUCGACAGUAGGGAUAUAAUUCACUGUCAUGGAAUUGCUCUCUUUAUGUACAAUUCGAUAUUCACCGUAACGACAUUAAUCGGGAUGGUUUUUGGGGGCGGAGAGAAAAGUGUCAAACCAACUGGAACGCGAACACGUGAUCGUCGGAACGGCCGCAGCCGUAUGAGCGACACGUUGCCCGAGCGACGAAAGUGUUCAGAAAAGCCCCUACCCACAGCCCUUACCCCUUCACCGACUGCGAAGCCCGACAAUAGGUAUUUUUCAAACACGUGGAAAGUAGAAAGGGAAGGCGGAGGACGAUCGUUUUGGUCUCUUCGGUUUUUAUUGAACUUGUGGUGCGAGACUACGUGUGAUAACCACGGGUGCACACCUCGCAGAGGUAAGUGUUAAUAUGUGGUUGACACGAUUUGAUUACAGACACACUUUGAGGCACUUAAAACAUCAUUUAGUUUCCUUGCGCAACUGCGGAGUAACUCAUACUCGCGAUGAUUGUCUUUCUACCGUCUCUCUACGUUCGUCUCCGUCCCUUUCCUCUCCACGUCCAACGAACAAGCAGAUACAACACAUCGAUUGGGACACUUUGUGGUGUGCGUAGUGUUGGAGGCCAACUGUUCGAUACGUUAGCGGAGGAUACGUGGCGCAUUGUCGAGCGCUAUCACAUCUUAUCACCGCGCAGCAGCGGAUCCGUUGGCCAGCGGCAGACGCCACCACCACCUCCACGUCCUCGCCCCUUCCGACGAACAGUCGUGAUAGGCACAUUUUUGCUUAUUACUAGCAGUUUACGGAUAGAGCCGGUUCGGAAGAAAGAACCCUUUAUGCAAUGUGUAUUAGAAUGCGAUCGCGAAAAGAAUAAACAUUUAAAAAACCUUUGUUUAA
Long non-coding RNA from Anopheles aquasalis, 1382 nucleotides. RefSeq lists it as uncharacterized. The record is from RefSeq and is a predicted model, not a curated record. Lineage: Eukaryota; Metazoa; Arthropoda; Insecta; Diptera; Culicidae.